Molecule: long non-coding RNA, 2640 nt
Filed under: Pan troglodytes (chimpanzee)
Lineage: Eukaryota; Metazoa; Chordata; Mammalia; Primates; Hominidae
Description: long non-coding RNA NONPTRT015220
Source: RNAcentral
CGUAUAAUAGAAAGGUCUCUCCACAAAACCCGGGGAAGAUAGAUUAAAGGUGCGUAGGAGGAUCUAGAGACAAAGAGAACAUUCAGGGUUACUGAAUGUACAGAAAAGGAUGAUGGUUCUUGAACAAGUGAGUAAGGAUUUGGGAGAUAUUUAGGAAGCAGAUUCACAAUACUGAGCUUUCAUUAGAGAGAGGGUAGAGGCAAUGGAAGAAUGUAAUAUGACUCACAGCAAUCUAGUCUGGUUGUGCCAGUCAUGGACAACAGCAGUAUAGGUGCAGUGGCUUUGGGGGAAAGAAUGAAUUAUAGUUUAGAGAUGCUUGGAAGUCACUAAUGUGUAAACGUAUAAAAGACAAGUGUAUAUAUAGGUCUGGAACUAAAAAUAAGUCUUGGCUGGAGAUAAAUAAUUGAGGAUUAUUUGCAUUUUCAUGGAGAGCAGACCAUGAAACAUUUACCAGUCCACACUGCAUGUGAUCCAAUCUUGGCCAUGGACCCUGGGCACAGUCUGCAUGGUUUCUCCUGGAGGGGGGCGGGUGUCCCCUUUGAUAAGAGAUACAAGAAGAGAUCCCACUACCAGUCUUUCUGCCUUUGGACUACAUUGAAUGAGGAAGUGAUGCCUUGGGAUGAAAGCUAACAUGGCAUCCAGAGCUGCUUCUCUGACCCUCUGGUUCUUGGCCCAGCUGAUAAGGAUCCAGUCCAUGAAUAAGUAAAUGGCUUCCUUCCAGUGGAGAGCUGACAGCUGGGAUUGAAACAAGAUCCAGAAUUCACCCUGCUGUUUCUCCAUGAGUCUGACCUGCAUCAACUGCCUCCCUUAUUCUGGGAUUCCAGUUGUGGAGCUCAAGGACAAGUCCAUUCUGGGCUGGCUGUAUCCAACUUCUUUAGUCCAACUAUAUCCCCACUGGAAGCCAGGCUCUUUCCAACAGCUGUCACCCAUGCCUCUUUCUAUGUUUGUUAUCUGUCUCUAGGUUCUGGUAACUACUUCCUUCCCUUGCCCCUUCUGGCCUAGGGUGCUACAAAUCCCUCCUCCAAAUCCAACUGUCACUAGCCUCAAAGUACUUGUAGCUUCCUCACCUUACUUUCACCUUAAUAAAUAGUCCCCCUACUAUCUCUCUUCAAAGCACCCAAUUUGAGUGUGCCAUCUGUUUCUUGCCAGGAUCCUGGUUGGUACAUCAACCAAGCUGCACAGAUGGAGGAGCACUGUGCUGAACUUUAGGAAUGAAGCCACAGGGCCCUCACUGCCCCCAUAGUCACGUUGGUCAUCUUCUGCCUCCCUGAAAGACUAAAUUCACUCAGUUCAGAUACAUACACAUCCAGACAUGUCAGGGAAAACUCCAUUUUGUAAGGAUCUCUGCUUAAAAUGCCAAAGGUUUGAAAGUUGGCAAACACUUGAGAAAAGCACAGUUCUCUGUCUUACUCUUACUCUAAACUUGGAGAUAUAUGCAUUUUUAAAAUUGUUCAUGUUAGAAUGCUAACGUGUACAAGAUCGUGCCUGGUGAGACACCACAAACAAUAUUUUAUGAGGCCAAAAUAAGAAAGAAGGAAAUGAAAUAGCUCAGGAAUCUCAGGAAGAGCUCAUCAAACACUUUGCCUUUAUCUCAGACCAUUUUAUCCACAGCCCUGCUAAUCAGGAUUGUAUAUACCUCCAUGAGGGAGUCUUAAACGGAGGGAAAGAGAUGCCACAACUAAAGAAAAGAAUGCAAUAGAAGUUUGUCUUGAUGCCUGUUCUGUGAUGCACAACUUUCGUAAGCCAAAAUUUUAACCUUAUGAACAAUCAGUUCUGUGCUGCCCUUAGCAGAGAACCAUAAAUUAAAGAUAAGCAAUGGUUCAGACUUUCCAGGGCCUUGACUCAGGAGUAACUCUGAAAUCCCAACCAAAUAUGUAUUUGGUUAAGCAAUUUGGCACAUUUUUCUAUUUUGAGGCAUUAAACUAUAAUUACAAGUCACUUUUAUUUCAUUCCAAAUAAAUCUCCCUAAAGUAGAUAGAACUAGAGGUUUCCUUUUUUAAAAAAAAGGAAACAGGAAAACAACAAACAAAACCAAAAAGAACAAAAGCAAAACAAAACUUAGUCAAGCUAACAAAUUGCAUGUAUGAUGUGUUUUAUAAUUUGAUCAAUAUGAAAAAUAGAGUGUGCUAGUGCCUCAGGAGGACUCAGAGGACUCAAAUACUCAAUAGGUUAUCUGGAGGAAUUUCUCAUUGGAGAAAAAAAUUAAAGUUCUUUUGAACAACCCACAUAAUCAAGAUAGUAAUAAUUUAACCUCAAGUUUUUCCUUGAUUAAAAAAUCCCUUUGCUAUUCUGCUCCAGUGUUUGUAAUAGAUGGUUCAACAAGACUGGUGUUUUGUUAGUUGGAAAAGUAAGCUGAUAUGAGGGGUGGGGAGAGGAAGGGCAGAAAUUUAUUAACAAUCAGCAAGUAAAGAAAAACAGCCUGCAAAUUGUAAUGAAAGGAAGAAAGGACAGGAAAGGAAAGGUAGGGCUGGUGGAGAGUGACUGUUCUGCCUGCUUACUGCACAGGCCAAGAACAAACUCACGAUAAAUACUCCAGGUCCUCAAGAAAAAGGUUUCUGUGCUGAAUUAUGGUAGUCUACCUGAAAUUGGGAUGAUGAAUUAGAAAACCUCUCUCAUCGCUUCAAGUCUUGUGAUUUAUUC